This 309-nucleotide RNase P RNA is filed under the name Propionivibrio sp. RNAcentral's name for it is "partial RNase P RNA component class A". It matches the Rfam family "Bacterial RNase P class A", at positions 1 to 299 of the family's 367-position model. From Rfam's summary of the family: Ribonuclease P (RNase P) is a ubiquitous endoribonuclease, found in archaea, bacteria and eukarya as well as chloroplasts and mitochondria. Its best characterised activity is the generation of mature 5'-ends of tRNAs by cleaving the 5'-leader elements of precursor-tRNAs. Cellular RNase Ps are ribonucleoproteins. Lineage: Bacteria; Pseudomonadati; Pseudomonadota; Betaproteobacteria; Rhodocyclales; Rhodocyclaceae. The record is from RNAcentral.
GAAGUCGGUCAGGCAACCGCUGGGGGAGAGGUGAAAACCUCGAACCGGGAGGAAAGUCCGGGCUUCAUAGAGCGAGAUGCCGGCUAACGGCCGGGCACCGUGAGGUGACGGAAAGUGCAACAGAGAAUAGACCGCCUAAGACCGGGGCAACCCGGGACGGUAAGGGUGAAACGGCGAGGUAAGAGCUCACCGCGGACGUGGUAACACGGACGGCACGGCAAACCCCAUCUGAAGCAAGGCCAAAUAGGGAAGCGCAUGGCGUGGCUCGCGUUGCUUCCGGGUAGGCUGCUUGAGCGUACUGGCAACAGU